RNAcentral lists this ribosomal RNA (447 nucleotides) under uncultured bacterium. RNAcentral describes it as "SSU rRNA". It matches the Rfam family "Bacterial small subunit ribosomal RNA", at positions 26 to 518 of the family's 1533-position model. The record is from RNAcentral.
AGAGCGAACGCUGGCGGCAGGCUUAACACAUGCAAGUCGAGCGGGCGUAGCAAUACGUCAGCGGCAGACGGGUGAGUAACGCGUGGGAACGUACCUUUUGGUUCGGAACAACCCAGGGAAACUUGGGCUAAUACCGGAUAAGCUCUUACGGGGAAAGAUUUAUCGCCGAAAGAUCGGCCCGCGUCUGAUUAGCUAGUUGGUGAGGUAAUGGCUCACCAAGGCGACGAUCAGUAGCUGGUCUGAGAGGAUGAUCAGCCACAUUGGGACUGAGACACGGCCCAAACUCCUACGGGAGGCAGCAGUGGGGAAUAUUGGACAAUGGGCGCAAGCCUGAUCCAGCCAUGCCGCGUGAGUGAUGAAGGCCCUAGGGUUGUAAAGCUCUUUUGUGCGGGAAGAUAAUGACGGUACCGCAAGAAUAAGCCCGGCUAACUUCGCGCCAGCAGCCGC